This 318-nucleotide long non-coding RNA is filed under the name Gorilla gorilla gorilla (western lowland gorilla). RNAcentral's name for it is "lncRNA (ENSGGOG00000044332.1)". The record is from RNAcentral. Lineage: Eukaryota; Metazoa; Chordata; Mammalia; Primates; Hominidae.
UUCUGUAGUUCUGAGGGUUAUCAUACCACUGAGAGUAAAAGAUAAGUUGGUAACAGUGAAAGAGAAACCUCAUUUAAUGAAUGUUUUUGGAAUGUAUCAUCAGUCUGAAGUCACUAUAAAACGAUGUACUUGCAGGACAUUUUUCAGUGUGAUAAAUAUUUAAAUAUCACAGGAGUCCACUGGGCAUGGUGUCAUGUGCCUAUAAUCCCAGCUACUCAGGAGGCUGAGGCAGGAGGAUUGCUUGAGACCAGGAGUUUGAGGCCAGCCUGCACAAUAUAGCAAGACCCCGUCUCAACAACAACAACAACAACAACAACA